This 341-nucleotide ribosomal RNA is filed under the name uncultured soil bacterium. Its description in RNAcentral is "bacterial SSU rRNA". It matches the Rfam family "Bacterial small subunit ribosomal RNA", at positions 26 to 372 of the family's 1533-position model. The record is from RNAcentral.
AGAUUGAACGCUGGCGGAAUGCUUUACACAUGCAAGUCGAGCGGCAGCGCGGGGCAACCUGGCGGCGAGCGGCGAACGGGUGAGUAAUGCAUCGGAACAUGUCCAUGUCGUGGGGGAUAGCCCGGCGAAAGCCGGAUUAAUACCGCAUACGCCCGAGAGGGGAAAGUGGGGGACCGCAAGGCCUCACGCGAUUGGGUUGGCCGAUGUCCGAUUAGCUAGUUGGCGGGGUAAGAGCCCACCAAGGCGAUGAUCGGUAGCUGGUCUGAGAGGAUGAUCAGCCACACUGGGACUGAGACACGGCCCAGACUCCUACGGGAGCAGCAGUGGGGAAUAUUGACAAU